Molecule: long non-coding RNA, 306 nt
Filed under: Olea europaea (common olive)
Lineage: Eukaryota; Viridiplantae; Streptophyta; Magnoliopsida; Lamiales; Oleaceae
Description: long non-coding RNA (OEUR_LNC000828)
Source: RNAcentral
AACAACUUAACUCAGGUUGGAAUAUCCAAUGACGUGGACAUAGUUUACUUUUUCGAAGACAUCUGCACGUGUCGUGAGUUCCAACUAAACCGUAUGCCAUGUGUUCAUACAACUUGUGCUGCUUGCUUGAGAGGAAAGUCUAUAUAUGGCCUUUGCUCCCCUUAUUACACAUCUGAAUACUGGAGGGGUGCCUAUAGUUAAGCUAUAUAUCCUACUGGACGUAAAGUGGACUGAGUUGUUCCGAGCUUAAUUAUAUUUACUCUUAUUUUGCCACCACUCGUACAUCGCCCUCCAGGUAGACGACCG